AAUGAACGCUGGCGGCGCGCCUAAUACAUGCAAGUCGAGCGAGAAGACGUAGCAAUACGUUUGUAAAGCGGCGAACGGGUGAGGAAUACAUGGGUAACCUACCCUCGAGUGGGGAAUAACUAGCCGAAAGGUUAGCUAAUACCGCGUACGCUCCUUGGACUUCGGUUCAGGGAGGAAAGCGAUACCGUGGGUAUCGCGCUCUUGGUUGGGCUCAUGUCCUAUCAGCUUGUUGGUGAGGAACGGCUCACCAAGGCUUCGACGGGUAGCUGGUCUGAGAGGACGAUCAGCCACACUGGCACUGCGACACGGGCCAGACUCCUACGGGAGGCAGCAGUAAGGAAUAUUGCGCAAUGGGCGAAAGCCUGACGCAGCGACGCCGCGUGGGGGAUGAAGGUCUUCGGAUUGUAAACCCCUUUCGGGAGGGAAGAUGGAACGAGCAAUCGUUCGGACGGUACCUCCAGAAGCAGCCACGGCUAACUUCGUGCCAGCAGCCGCGGU
Molecule: ribosomal RNA, 498 nt
Filed under: uncultured bacterium
Lineage: Bacteria
Description: bacterial SSU rRNA
Rfam family: Bacterial small subunit ribosomal RNA
Source: RNAcentral